Molecule: long non-coding RNA, 983 nt
Filed under: Vigna radiata
Lineage: Eukaryota; Viridiplantae; Streptophyta; Magnoliopsida; Fabales; Fabaceae
Description: long non-coding RNA (VRAD_LNC005947)
Source: RNAcentral
ACAAAAUAAUCAAUAAUUAAAUUAAAUUAGGUGCGUUGCUGAGCCAACCUAACUCAUUAUGAGUUAAACUUUGAUGAGCCAGAUUGUAAGUCAAGUUGAAAAUUGAUCAGUAUAAAAAAAAAUUCAUUAUUCAUUGUUUUCAAACCAACCGAGUCCAAAUCCGUUGUGAGUCGGAUUGACUCGCAUGUUCUAAUUCAUUUUAACUCCACUAGUCACCCCGGGCUAAUUUUUUUAUCAUUCACCCUUAACUUCUUUAAUUUACUUAUCCUUAAAUGUUGUUUGCCAAUAAGCUCUCUCACUUGGUUUUGGUCUAUUUUCCUCCUUCCACCCAGUCAUCCUUUAAUGUUUUAGUGUUCUUCACUUGGUUUUGGUCUCAUUUCUCCCUCCUUGUUUGGUCUUUCCUCUUGUGUGAUUUCACUUCUUUUUUGGGGCGAACAUUGUGUUUGAAUGACAUGAUGAACAAGCAAGGUUAAAAAUUGGUACAAAUGUUUGCUUUUUUUGCUUUAUUGUUUUUGUACGGGAGCUUCUCUUACUUCGUAAACAAUUUUUAGGGUUCCAUUCCCAGGUUUAGUAGCUUCUCUUCGUAAACAUUUAUGAGGUUCCAUUCUAAGGUUUACAAAACGUAUAAUAUGAUGUUUGUUUUGGUUUAUUUGCUUUUUAUCUCACAUGUUUUGGUUUAUUGCUGUGAAAAUGUUUUUGGAUUUUUCAAGUAUGAUAGGGUUUGAUUUUUGUUGGUGUCUCACGACGUUUGGUUUAUUUUGUCUGCAAUGUUUUUUUUAUUCUUUAAGUUUUUCCUUUACUUUUGUCUUUUUUCCAUUCGGUUUUGUUCACUUAAAUAGAUUUGACGGAGAGUAAUUAAAAGAAUUUGAAAAGAUUUGAAGGUGAUUUUUUUUUUGUUUAUUUGAGUGGAUUUAAAGAUAAGUGAGAAUUAAUUUGAAAUUACAGUUUGUAAGAAUUAAUAUAAAAUUUAAUUAAUGUGAUAG